AAUUUGCCCCUUAAUUGGGGGCUAGAAUGAACGGUGAUACUACCUAAUAUAUGACCCUGCGCCUGUGAACCUUUAUGUUGAGUGAAAACCCUCAAAUUUUAACACCAGACAAAAAGACCCUAUGAAGCUUACAGCACCAUCACCACAUAAGACUUUGGCUGUUUCUUUGGGGAAAAGGGCAAUAAGAAUAUUUCUACCUGUUGGAUCCUAAUGAGAAAAACGAAAAAGCUCCCCUAGGGAUAACAGCGCAAUACCGCUUUAAAGCCCACAUUAAAAGCGGUGC
Molecule: ribosomal RNA, 283 nt
Filed under: Subeucalanus sp. 3 EG-2011
Lineage: Eukaryota; Metazoa; Arthropoda; Copepoda; Calanoida; Eucalanidae
Description: partial 16S ribosomal RNA
Rfam family: Bacterial large subunit ribosomal RNA
Source: RNAcentral